AUUGAACGCUGGCGGCAGGCCUAACACAUGCAAGUCGAGCGGAUGAAGGGAGCUUGCUCCUGGAUUCAGCGGCGGACGGGUGAGUAAUGCCUAGGAAUCUGCCUGGUAGUGGGGGAUAACGUCCGGAAACGGGCGCUAAUACCGCAUACGUCCUGAGGGAGAAAGUGGGGGAUCUUCGGACUUCACGCUAUCAGAUGAGCCUAGGUCGGAUUAGCUAGUUGGUGGGGUAAAGGCCUACCAAGGCGACGAUCCGUAACUGGUCUGAGAGGAUGAUCAGUCACACUGGAACUGAGUCACGGUCCAGACUCCUACGGGAGGCAGCAGUGGGGAAUAUUGGACAAUGGGCGAAAGCCUGAUCCAGCCAUGCCGCGUGUGUGAAGAAGGUCUUCGGAUUGUAAAGCACUUUAAGUUGGGAGGAAGGGCAGUAAGUUAAUACCUUGCUGUUUUGACGUUACCAACAGAAUAAGCACCGGCUAACUUCGUG
RNAcentral lists this ribosomal RNA (484 nucleotides) under uncultured bacterium. Its description in RNAcentral is "partial 16S ribosomal RNA". It matches the Rfam family "Bacterial small subunit ribosomal RNA", at positions 30 to 507 of the family's 1533-position model. The record is from RNAcentral.